CCUGGGAAGUCCUAAGAUAAACUCACAUCGGAGAUGAAGAGAGUGACACAUGAAGUUUAACAAUUUGCACAAGGAGGACAUUGCUCAUUCAUCAUACAGAGAUGAUCCAUAGAAGGAGACAAAGUACAUAAACAAGAUACACAACCACUACGAAAGGAAAGCUUCCACAAGGUGAUACUAUACCAUCACUCUUCAAGUAAGGUAACAUCUUAAGAUAUCUGACUAUCACUUUUAUAAGCUUCUCCUUGGUUCUGGCAUUCACAUAAAUAAAGAGACAAACAUGUAUGAUUUAUAACUCCAAAUUAACCAACCCCGCUGAUUCAGCAUGUUUAGUCCCUUAAUCUUUGAUCCCCACACUCCUAGUCAUAUGAGCUAAAAUGUUGCACAUUUAAUCUUUGGGAAGAUAUAAAGAAAAAGACAUAUACAUAGAUAGAUUAUCUUUCCAUAAGGUUAAGCGAUCUGAUCUGACAAAUGUUUUAAAUACUAUACUUAUGAUCUUAUUAUCCAUCACCUUUGUCUUGUUCACUAUGCUUAAGGUUAGAGAAGAACAAAUACACUUUUGGUUCUGUUGGUGUUUUCCACCAACAGGGCCCAUGCACUUGAUCUCUGCCUUGUCUCUAUGAGCAGGACACAUUUUGAGAAACAUGGAGGAGUUUUACAACUCCCAGAUUCCACCAAGUGAAGGACCUGGAUCUACGAGCAUAAAUAUACUGAGCAAGAUACUGCCAACGCCGCACUACGAACUACUAGGCAAAUGAAGAACAUGGGUGACACCGUAUUAAGAGGUGCAGACGUCAGGGUCCACACCUGAAUCAAAUGACGCACCUGAAGAAUGAACACGGUGAGAAGUCUUGUUUAGAAGACUUAAAACAUUGAAUCCUCGCCAAAAGGUAAAAUCGGUAGUUAUCCAUAUUUAUCCUUUCUGCAUUCCCUUUUCCCUUUAAUUACUUACUUUCCUUAAAUAGCCUAUUAGUUAAUCAUGCUAUCUUGAAAAGAAAAUAAAAAUGUUAAAAAAUACUAAGCCCCAUGUGAGUAUGCUCGUGGCAUGAAACCCAUAAGUACAUUCACUGUGGUGGCGUAAAAAUAAAAUAAAUAUAUUCUUGUCCUAUAGAAAUGAAAAUAUAAAAAUAAAUUUAUGAUCCUACCAAAGAGAGUAAUAUUUAUUAGAGGAAGCUCAACAUGAUAAAUUCAAAGAGAUUUUAUGCUAACACUUAACCAGUCCCACAAAAGCUUUGUUGUCUAUUUGAGCUCCACAUAAUUCAAGGAUCAAAGAAGACUAGCAGACGGAGGACAUUCUAAUCGCGGUCAGGGUGCUGUCGACAUUCAAAUAAACCUCAGCCACCUGCUAGCUACAUCAAAAGAAAUUACGUCAAAAUCCAGCUUGGGGGAGAGCAACCCCAUUUAUCUAGCUAAGUAUUUCUAUCUACGUUAUAAUUAUACUUUGUUAAAUUAAUAAAAAGAUGCAUAAUCAUAAAAACCCAAAUAAAGAUUUUAUGCUUAUAUAUAUAUAUCUAUCUUUUCUUAGUUUGCUAAAUAAAUAAAUAAAUAAAGUUUGCUAUGAACCCUCAUGAUAAGCUCUCACAUGGAAAUGAUGAAUAGUUGCUCUGCCCUGACUAGUUCUCAAAAGUGAAAUCUCUCUCAAGUUUAGGUAUGACUGUUAUGAAUUAUGAUUUGCUCUAAACCUGAACUUGUGGGAAGAGUACUUGAUCUAAAGUCUAAGUCGUUAACGGAUAUGAUAUUGGAAGGUUGAGCUGCUGUUUAUCUAUUCCUAGAGAUGCUAGAAUUCUGGAAAAUUUUAUCUUUGAAAAUCUUUAAAAUGUUGCAUGGUGAGUUCCUGUAUGAUGAGAGUUUAAAAUCCUACCACAACCACAUAUACAUGCUUAUUAGACUAUGAACCAUACAUUUACUUUUUACUGCUUAUGAGCAUUGAGUGUGGUCAAUCUAUGUAGACCCUUAGGAGCUUGUCAUGCGGUUAAAAUCAAGAUCCACUUGCACGAUCACUCAUAUAUGCUGCUUCUACUUCGGAAGUACGCAUCCACAUACAUCCACUCAUUUCUAUCACCAAACUCACCCAAAAUUAUUCUACUCCUAUCCAGGAGAGAAUAGCCAAAAACAAUUAUCCUAUCCCUGUUUUUCCCUGUGAAAUAAAUGCUCGAGCUAUUUUGGUUACUACCACUUGCUACAUUAUUCCAGGAGGGUGAGUGCUCUGAGAAAAAAAGAGAAGAAAAAUACGAGGAAAUAAAAAGGGGUAAGUGCCUGGAACCUCGAAAGAAAAAAAGAAAAAGUGAGACGAGAGGUAAAAAUGGACAAGUGUCCGACAGUAGAAUUAGGGGUACAAGAUACCCACCUAAGAGAUAAAAAAAGAAGAGAGAAAAUAUAGAACAUCUCAUUCCCUUCGAAAAGCUUCAAAGUGCAAGAAAGGUAUGUAUCCCCUCAAAAGAGCAAAAGUAGAAUUAGACUUUCACCAUUAUUUUCACCAUUAUCACCAUCAUCACCAUACACCAUUCAUCUGCCACACAUGCACAUCUUGAUUUGACUCAUUGACUUGUUUCUCUGGAUCCAUGGUUUGACUAUGCAAUAAAUGUCUUGUAAGUAUGUAUUAGCUGUCUCCCACCUAUGAUCUCCAGAUAUCAAAACUUUGUUAGAGUAGGGUGAGAGAGAAGGCAAUAUCACUAUGCCUCAUACCAAAAAUAUCACAUGCUUUGAGAGAAGGCAUAUAUCAUCACUGCCUUGGUAAGGAUCUAGAAAUACCACAAAAGAGAGAAUUGAGAGAGUCAUACAAGGAAUCUCUGAGUUUUAUUUGAAAAUCUGCAAAAAACUCCAGAGCGAUAGUUGAUCAAAGAACAAGAGACAUGGUGCUUGACUUGAGCGUUCUAUCUUUUAACUGCUCAAGACACAAGUGAUGGUUGCAAGCCCCAUGGUGGAAGGUAAUAUGAGUAAGUUUAAAUCUUAACAGUUUACCCUAACCUAGAGAUGAGAUCUUGUUUAAAUGCAUGUGUACCUUUAAGGCAUAAAACCACUGCAGAAACUUUUGAGUCCAUCCUUGCUUAGGGAUGAGCAAGAGGUAAGCUUGGGGGAGUUGUUGACGGUCCUUAAGUACCAAAUAUAAUCAGCAAAUAAACAAAGAAAAGGAUCCAAAUACAACCAACAUCUAAACUUAGGGUUUUAUCUGACAUAAUUCCACAAGUUUUGGUGUUUGUCUAUUUCUGCAGGGGGUUAUCAGGAAAUAUGGAGAGAAGGCCCACACGUCGGGUUUACAUAGAGAUAUUAACAUGCCGCACAAUUUUCUAUCAUCGAGAAGACUCCAGAAGCCACGAGAACAAAGUGGAAGCCGAGAGGGCUCAGGGACAGGGCGCCCACCCUCCCCACUUGGGCGCCCGCCCAGCUACAGAGUUGGAUCAGGACUCUCUUUCGGGAUGAUGUUCCACCGACCUAAAGGAUCAAGGAUAACCGUUCAAGCAAUGUCGGUUUGAUCCAACGGCCCAGGUUCACUUGAGGGGACUAUAUAACUAGACCCCCUAGCCCCUAGAGGAGGCACCCCUUGAUCAUUAUUCAUUAUUCAUAGACAGAGCAAAAGCUAGGGUUUAGAGAUGAGUGCUCUCCUCUCUUCUCUAAACUAGAGUAGAUCUAGAUAGUAGCGAGAUGGAGAGCGAAGGAGAAUUAGAGGAGAGGCCGGCCUGUCGGUUCUUCCUCCGGUUGUACUUCGUCAUGAUCAAGCUCUAAUCAAGCUUGCUCAUGGGAUGACUCUGGUAAUCUACUUCUAAUUCAUUAUGCAAUUACUAAUCAUGUAUGUUCUGGUUCACAACUCUUUUGACUACUUCAAAUCUAUAGGACCCUAUAGGUUAGAGUUGUGUAUAGGUGUAAGCGUGGUGCUUAGACCUAGAUUACUUGUGAAUAUCCCCUGUCUAGCUAGAUCGUGUGGUAGGCCGCGUAGGUGACAGUUACGUUGGUCCUCUGUAGUCCACCUCUUGUUAGCAGGACGGGUAGGGUUUAUCGGCCUUUGGAUAAGCAUCCUUUGUGGUGUAACCUUAUCACGUGGUUCAUCCCAGACAUAGACAUACCCCUUUCAAGUAGAGAAACCAUAGUUAUCCUCUCUAUUCUGCUACCAUCGCCCAUAUACUAGAAUUGCUCUACUCUCUAUUCCCAUAUUAUCACCUAUUGUUAUCUUACCUUUAAUAUUGUUCUUAUUCAAUUCUACCAUCUUUCCUAUUUACACCUAUCUAUCUAUCUUGGUUAUGUUAGAGCGUAGUUGGUUCUCCCGUUUCCCUGUGGAUACGAUAAAACCUUUAACCGGGUAAAAGCUUCAACGGUAUCCGUGCGCUUGCGGAUUAUCUGUGUGCGUAUAAAUACCAUAUUACACUCUAGUGCCAUGCUGGGGAUGACAACCUAGUAUUCAAGUGGUGUUAGCAAGUGUCAACACCGGCGACAUUCGAAGCCCUCAUGAACGACGUCCUGCGCCCUUUCCUUCGUCGGUUUGUGCUUGUGUUUUUUGACGAUAUUUUGAUCUAUAGUACUUCGUUGGCCGACCACCUUUGACACCUCCAUGCUGUCCUCACCGUGCUGCAGCAGCACCAGCUGUUCGUCAAACGCUCCAAGUGCGCCUUCGGGGUGUCGUCCAUCUCCUACCUCGGCCACAUCAUCUCCGAGGAGGGCGUGGCCAUGGACUCCGCCAAGGUGCAGGCGGUGCCUGACUGGCCGCAGCCCCGUUCGGCGCGUGCUGUGCGGGGAUUCCUGGGCUUGGUGGGGAACUACUGCAAGUUUGUCCUGGACUACGGCACCAUUGCCGCCCCGCUGACCGCGUUGUUUAAGAAGCAUGGCUUCGUGUGGACCGACGACGCAGCCGCGGCUUUCCAGGCGCUCAAGGGCGCCAUCACCUCGGCACCGGUGCUGGCCCUCCCCAACUUUCAGCAGGAGUUUAUCGUCGAGUGCGACACCUAGACGCACGGUUUCAGCACGGUGCUGCUCCAGGACAAGCACCCCAUCGCCUUCUUCAGCCGCCCCGUCGCUCCUCGCCAUCGUUCGCUCGCUGCAUACGAGCGCGAACUCAUCGGGCUGGUGCACGCCAUUCGUCACUGGAGGCCAUACUUGUGGGGGUGGCGUUUCACGGUUCGGACGGACCACUACAGCUUGAAGUUCCUCCUCGACCAACGCCUCUCCACGAUCCCGCAGCACCACUGGGUCGGCAAGCUCGUAGGCUACGACUUCUUGGUGGAGUACAAGCCAGACGCUCAGAACACUGUCGCCGACGCACUGUCCAGGCAUGACACUCCAGAGGCCUUGGUUAUAUAGUCUUUUCAAGUGAAUUUGGACUGUCAGAUCAAACCGACAUUGAUUGUAUGGUUUAGAUUGAUCCUUUAGGUCGGUGGAGUUUAGACCCGAAACAGAGUCCUGAUUGGAGUCCAACCCAGGGCGGGCGCCUAGGGCAGGAGGGCGGGCGCCCUGCCUCUGGCCCCGUUCAGCCUCCGCUUUCUUCCCGUGGCUUCUGCAGUCUUUUAGAUUGAGGAAAAUUGCACGGCACAUAAUUAUCUCGUUGUAAACAUGACAUGUGGGCCUUCUCUCCAUAUUCUCUGAUAACCUCCUGCAGAAAUAGAUAAACACCAAAGCUCGUCGAAUUCUGUUAGAUAAAACCCUAAUUCUAGAUGUUUGUUUCAUAUUGAUCCUUUUUCAUGUUUAUUUGAUUAUUAAUUUUAGUACUUAAGGACCGUCAACACCCACCGCCUUUUGUAGAGGCGGUGCAUGCGAAGCCCUAGCGCGGUUCCCGGCUGCAUUUUGCAGUUUACCCCCUCCCAAACCGACCUUCCACACCUACAUAAGGAGGGGGAGAGGGCCUCUCAUUCAUCAUCAUUCAAUCCAUUCAAGCUUCAAGUCCACAAGAAUAAAGAGAGAUACAAGAGUAGUAGUAGAGAGGCGGAGCUUCCACUCAUAUCCUUAGCCUCUAGUUAGGAAUAGAAUAGGAGAGUGAGUUAGAGUGUAGAGUAAGAGAAGUAGCAAGCACCCGGUCCGUUCCCCUAGUUGCAUUGGGCGGAAGGGCCGAAGUGCUGCCGGCUUCCCGAGCUGUACCUCUACAACCUAGAAUACCAUAUUGGGGUAAGCAAAGGUUGUAUUCUUCUUUUGUUCUAAGAAGUUAUUGAGUAAUCGUUAUCAUGUUUUUCUAAUCUUGUGGGUUCGUUGUCUAUCUCUCGGUAGACACUCUAGUAGAGGGACUCUUGCUGGCUUGCGGGAGGACCUGCGCAACGCUAGAGUAGUAGCUAAUAACGUAGACAUGGUGUCUAGGUUAGAGGUUACCCUCGUUUGCCUUGUAUCCCACGGUUGAGAGGUCAGCAGUAGGUGGUGACAGCCCUGUUUGUCCUUAGUUUCCCCCACGUCCGGAUACGGCGUAGAGCUACACGCCGGUAUUACCUGGCAGACCAGGUACGCUCCGGUGCCCAAAGUAAGAUUAGAAAAGCACGUUGCCUUGCACAAAACUCCUACCAUUAGGAGAACCUCACUACCUAAGUCAUCCCUCUCACUUUACUCUAGGGUACACUUAGUUUAAGUCUCAAAACACCUCCGUUCCCUGUGAAAUCUCGAUACCCUGAAUACCACCGAGUGAUGUGCUACAACGGUACUUCCGUGCGCUUGCGGAUAAUUGGCUGCAUCGCUAAGAAAUACCAACAAGCAUUUCUGGCGCCGUUGCCGGGGAAUGGUUGUCGUUUUUUAGUCGAACCUAGUUCCCCGUGUAUCAUCUCCCAUUUUUAUCUAAAUAUAUAUAUAUAUAUAUAUAUAUAAAUUAUAAAAAAAAUACUAUGGAGCCAAACACACUUUACCAACUAUCUGCUCCUAAGGGCGAGCUCGUAGAAGCACCACAAUCGUCAAAGCCAAUCACAACUUCAAGUUAUGAGCUCCAUCCUGGCUUUAUAGCCAUGGUUCGGGAACAAACCUUCUCAGGCCUAGAUUAUGAAAAUCCAUGUCAUCAUUUAAGGGAGUUUGAGCAACUCUUUGCAUGCCUAACAAUUUCGGGUAUGUCGCAAGAAACCCUUAGGUGGAAAUUGUUUCCGUUUUCUCUUGAAGAGAAGGCGAAACAAUGGUACGCCCAUAACGUAGGAAAGGUGAAAGGAGAUUAGGAAGAAUUGAGGAAUAGAUUCUGUCUCACGUUCUUCCCUAUAUCUCGUGUCACUGCCCUACGACAAGAGAUUCUCAGCUUCCAACGACAAGAGAAGGAAACCAUAGGUGCAGCCUGGGAUAGAUUUUUAAUUCUUACCCGUUUUGGCCCAGACUUGUCAAUCCCUAGCCACGUGUUGUUACAACAUUUUUGGCUAGGGCUACACAAGGUGUCUGCCCUACAAUUAGACAUAGCUGCCGGAGGGUCGUUUAACCACAAGACCACAGCAGAAGGAGAAGCCUUACUAGACCUCAUUCUAGAGAACACUCCUUCGCUAGAACCUCUCCGCGUAGAGCCCGAACCUGAAAUAGAGGAAGUCUCAAUAGCCUCCACUGACAAUACACCUAUAGAGACAUCUCCCACCAUAUCAGGACCCCCGAAGGAAGAUUUUCAACCUUCAGAUCUCCCGUUCUUCGAGGAUGAUCUUUUUAAAGAUUUCGGAAACACCUCGAAGUACUCAUGUCAAAGAAAGCCGCAAGUUGCCACUGCUAAUGAUCAGCUAGAUGAGGAUUUUAUAAAACAUUCAAUUAAUGAACUCUCAGCUAUCAUGAGUCAGAAAUGGACCAAAGAAACAGUUAUCUUUUGAUCCACUUCAGAUUAAUACUCCAUCUUCGUCCAUUCAGUGCAAAAUUUGCCGUAGCUGGCAAGAAGCAUUGUAUAAUCCACUUGUCGGGGCCAAUUUAAUGUCGAAAUCUUUUAUGCUCACCCAUCUAGGGUCUGAACCACUGGCCCCGACAGAGAAAACUCUCAGGGUAGCCCCGCGUACGGAAUUGAAAAGUUGUGGGAUUCUCCACCAAACCCAUGUACGACUUGAUAACAUCAGAACGAGUCUUCACUUUUAUUUCUUUGACAUUAAAAGUUUUGACAUCCUUAUAGGCCACCCUAUAGAGCUUUUAACCCAUGAACUGCCAGCUACAGGGGCAAUGAACGUAAAAUUGGGAAGAGACACUUUUUCCAUUCCAAUCACUCGAGCUAAAAACUCAGUGACCGACUCUCGACCCGACCUACCUUUGCCCAAGGAGGUGAUGGCUGUUUCACCUUUUGAAACACCCGAAUCGUCCUUAGAUAAGGACGCCGAAAGCUUCAAUCGAGAAGAGGACGAGUUAGGAGAAACCAUAGAACUCCCCGAGGAUGAAACACCACCAAAACCUCCAGUUGAGCUUAAACCCUUGCCCGCUGGGCUACGUUAUGCCUUUCUAAACGGCAACAAAGAAACACCCGUAAUUAUUAGCGAUAGGCUAUCUGAUGAGGAGUCGAACAAACUCAUUGCCGUCUUAGAAAAACAUAGCACAACCUUUGGGUAUUACUUGCAAGACCUCAAGGGAAUAAGCCCAACACUCUGCACACAUCGCAUACCUACGGACCCUGAGCUUACACCUUCUCGUGAACCCCAACGUAGGCUAAACAACGCGAUGCGUGAAGUCAUGAAAAAGGAAGUUCUCAAACUUUUUCACACUGGGAUUAUUUAUCUCGUACCACACAGUGACUGGGUCAGUCCCGUCCAAGUGGUUCCAAAGAAGGGAGGCAUGACGGUCGUUAAAAACGAUAAAGAUGAGUUAUUCCCCCAACGACCACAGACAGGGUGGAGAAUGUGUAUCGAUUAUCGAAAACUUAACAAGGCAACAAAGAAAGAUCAUUUCCCACUGCCCUUCAUUGACGAAAUGUUAGAGCGGCUGGCGAAACAUUCUUUCUUUUGUUUUCUUGACGGGUAUUCGGGUUAUCAUCAGAUCCCUAUCCACCACGAUGAUCAAAGCAAAACCACGUUCACAUGCCCGUAUGGAACGUUUGCUUAUAGACGCAUGUCCUUCGGACUAUGCAAUGCACCCGCCUCCUUUCAAAGGUGCAUGAUGUCUAUCUUUUCUGACAUGAUCAAGGAAAUUAUGGAAGUUUUCAUGGACAAUUUUUCAGUCUAUGGAAAAACUUUUGAUCAUUGUCUAGAAAACUUAAACAAAGUGUUGCAAAGAUGCCGUGAUAAAGACCUGGUACUUAAUUGGGAAAAGUGCCAUUUCAUGGUCAGAGGAGGCAUCGUUCUUGGACACCUAGUUUCUGAGAGGGGAAUCGAGGUAGACAAGGCCAAAAUUGAAGUAAUAGAGGGUCUACCUCCUCCAGUGAACGUAAAAGGGAUCCGAAGUUUCUUAGGCCACGCUAGUUUCUAUAGAAGGUUUAUAAAAAACUUUUCACAAAUUGCAAGGCCUCUUACAAAUCUUUUAGCCAAAGAAACACCCUUUGAGUUCACCGAUGAGUGUCUCACUGCCUUUCAUACUUUAAAGAAGGCACUCAUCUCAGCACCAAUCAUCCAACCCCCGGAUUGGUCGCUACCGUUUGAGAUAAUGUGUGAUGCUAGUGACUUUGCUGUCGAGGCAGUCUUAGGUCAAACAAAAGAUAAACAGCAUCUUGCAAUUGCUUAUGCUAGCAAAACUAUGACAGGAGCUCAGUUAAAUUAUGCUACCACAGAAAAAGAGCUCCUUGCCGUAAUUUUCGCUAUUGAUAAAUUCAGAUCUUACUUAGUGGGAGCAAAAAUAAUUGUUUAUACUGAUCAUGCUGCUCUAAAAUACUUGCUCACUAAGAGAGAUGCAAAACCUUGCCUCAUAAGAUGGAUCUUGUUGUUACAAGAAUUUGAUUUAGAAAUAAAAGAUAAAAAGGGUAUAGAAAAUACUGUGGCAGACCAUCUUUCGCGUAUGCAAGUCACUAACAUGCAGGAACUACCCAUUAAUGACUUCAUGCGCGACAACAUGCUGUUAAGAGUGACUGACCUGAACCCGUGGUACGCCACCAUCGUCAACUACAUGGUCACGGGUUACGUACCACCAGACGAAAGCAGGAAGAAGCUGCAAGUUGAGAGCCGCCGACAUCUUUGGGAUGACCCAUACUUGUAUCGGGUCUGUUCCAACGGGCUUUUGAGGGAGUGUGUACCACCAACCGAAGGAGAGAAAAUCAUCGAACAAUGCCACUCUGCACCAUACGGAGGCCACUAUGGAGCCUUCCGCACUCAAGCCAAAAUCUGGCAGUGCGGAUUCUUCUGGUCGACGAUGUAUGAGGACACGAAGGACUUCAUCCGAAGAUGCCGGAAGUGUUAGUUUCAAGGCAACAUCACUGCUCGCAAUGAAAUGCCCCUCCAUUACAACCUACCGGUCGAAGUAUUUGAUGUAUGGGGCAUUGACUUCAUGGGUCCAUUCCAGAAGUCCUAAGAUUGACUUCAUGGUUGCUGUGGACUAUGUGUCCAAGUGGGUAGAAGCUCUACCAUGCCGAGCUGCUGACUCAAAGCACGCACGGAAGAUGUUUCAUGAAGUGAUCUUUCCUCAGUUCGGAACACCCAGGAUGGUUGUGAGUGAUGGGGGAUCACACUUAAUUGACAGAACAUUCAGAAACUUCCUGCGUGAGCUUGGAGCAAAGCACAACAUAGCUACCCCGUACCACCCUCAAACAAGCGGUCAAGCGAAAACCUCAAACAAGAAAAUCAAGAACAUCCUGCAGAAAACAGUCAACGAAAUGGGGAAGGGUUGGAAGAGCAAGUUACCAGAUGCCCUCUGGGCAUAUCGGACGGCCUAUAAAACCCCCAUAGGCAUGUCACCAUUCCAAAUGGUAUAUGGCAAAGCAUGCCAUCUCCUGGUUGAGCACGAGCACCGAGCUUACUAGGCGAUCAAGAACUGGAAUAUGGACUUCAAGCUAGCUGGCAGGAACCGACAGAAACAGAUAGCUGAGCUUGAAGAAUUGCGAGAAAAAGCUUACCAUAGUGCCAAGAUAUACAAGGAAAGAACAAAGAAAUGGCACGAUCACCGAAUCAAACCCAAGGAGUUUAGAAAAGGCGACCGCGUUCUACUCUUCAACUCCAAGGUAUGACUUUUCGGUGUAGGAAAACUUCAGAGUAAGUGGAAAGGACCAUACACCAUCAUCGAGACCUCCGAGCAUGGCGCGAUCACCAUAGCAGAUGACGAAGGUAAUAUCACUAAGGUAAAUGGUCAACGCUUAAAAGUUUUCCUGGAACCCAAUUUUGAAAAGGAAAUUGAAACAAUACAUUUGAUUAAUUGGGUUUAAAUUGUAAAAAAAAUAUAAUAAUAAUAAUAAUAUAAAUAAAAUAUUUCAAUUAAUUCUGCUUAGUUUUGAAUUACCAAAAAUAAAAAUAUGAUUUCUAAAAAGAAUCUUUAGUUUUUAGCUUUUACCUUUCAAUAAAACCCUUGUUUCUCUAAAAAAUAUCUAGGAAGCGUAGCAAAACGUAGGCAGAUUCAAAAUUUGAAAAGUGGGACGAGUGCGCACGCCAAAAUUCAGGGCCAACGGACGUGCCCAGGGGUCGGCCGCCCCUGGCCUGACACGUCUACGGCCCGAUCUUUUCCAGCGUCUAUCUCUUCGUCAUUCCUAUCCUUAUCUGCAUGGAAAUUCAAAUUUGCCGCUCGUGAUCUCACCAGGGAGGGCCUUCUUCCUAUUUAAACACCCCCUAACCCCUCUCUAAGCCAUAGCCAUUAGUGCUUUCCAAGUUUACAUCUUCACAAACCACCUCUAUCAAGAGUAGCGCUUAGAGCAUAGGUAGCCACGCGCUAGCGCUGUUCGUGGAGUCGGGAGGAUCCUUCGACGCCGAAGGAGAAUUCUCUGAGGCGAACGUGAGGGAGGCGUUUGGUGUGGAAGAAGGAGAGAUGCUGACGUACCCUCUUGCCAUCAUACCCCCGUCAAGCAUCACGAGCGAAGGAACGAGCCUACGUUCCACGGCUCGCACGAAGGUGGCGGCGCACAAGACGGCGGCACCGAGGAAGAUGGCGCGCGACGAUGCGCCGCCGACGACGACGAACAAGAAGAAGGCGCCUGUAGAUCCAUAUGUUGUAACGCCUUCGGGCAGUUUAGACUCUAGGUUCUUGUCUUCGGGAUCCACUGCGCGCUCCGACCCGUCCUACACAGUGGUGGGAAUUAGGAAACCCAGUGGAGGAUGCGAGAAGGGCCUCAUGCGUAAGCCGCCUCUCGCGCCACCCACACCUGCGCCCGCGCCUAAGACAGCCGCGACCACCUCGUCCGCCCCCUUGCGUAUCAAACGCGUAAACCCCGCUACAGGCGGGCGAUCAAACCGGCUGCCAAGUGACUCUAAUCUGCCUUCUGCUGCCCCUCGCGUCCCAAAAUGCAAGCACGAAAAUCCCAUCCUUAGGGGGCAGCCACACGGAUUUCUUACCGAUUCAGAUAAUGAGUCGAAGCGGGAAAGCGCACGCACUAUCGCCGCGCUUAGAACUUCCGUGCAGUCACUACAUGGUGUAGUGGAAGAGCUUAAAGGCGAACUAGCUAACACCCGCCUGAAAUAUAUAGAGCUUAUGGACAACUUAGCCGCUGUACAAUUCGGUCUAACCAACCGGCUUGUCAAGGUGGCUCGGGCUGCGGGUGUAGAGCAUGUUCUAGACACAAACCGCAUCUAGUUUAAUUUUGCUUAGCCGAGUAAUUUAUUUUCCCUUUUAUUUAGAUUUCCUUCAUUUACUUUGUAAUCAAUGUCUCGGCUUAUAUUGAAUAAUAAAGAAGUCCUUUGUUCGAAUUAUUUUGUCUCCACUUGUUGUUGUAUUAUUUUUGUCUACUUGAGAAAAAUCAAAGAACAGGUAAAAAAACAAGUGUGGGGGAGGAAUCGCCAUCAAGGUAAUCUUACAUAGAAAAAAUUUCAGAAUUAUUUUUAUUCCUCCUAUGACAAUUUAAAUCGGAUUUAUAUGAUAAAAAUAUUGCUAAUAAAAUAAAAAGAUAAAAAAAUAAAUUAAUACUCCAUUUCUGCUCUGCCUUUGAAAUUAAACAUGCAUACUCUUUAUUCCUCGCCAAAAGCGUACCAUUUAUGGGCAACUUUUUAUAAGAACCCCGUUGCUUCUAAGUAAUUGAGAUUUGCGAUAUAGUAGGAUAAUUUGAAACUUGCUCACUUAUGCAAUGAACUUGGGGAUUUAUUUGAUAAAAUUAAAAUUGCAAAAAGUCUGCUCUUCAAUGAUAGAUAAUUACCUAACAAGGCCAAAUAUAUUACUCUUGAUAAAAAUUCUACAAAUAGCUGCUUAUUUGUUUUGAGUUGUGUGAAGUCUUGUUGACCCUUGUUAAGAGAUUUAUCAUGCUCUCAAGAUCAAGAUCACGUACACUCCAGUUACAUAUAUAUGCCGCUUCUACACUGGGAGUGCGCAAAAACAUGCCUUACAUGUGCACCAUACAAACACUCCAUGUUUUAAAGAAUGAUCUCUCUAGUGCAUCUUAGAUAAAGACAUGGGCUAUGCAAAUAUAUAUAUAUAUAUAUAUAUAUAUAUAUAUAUAUAAAGAGCAGAAAAAAAUGGGCAAGUGCCCGCCGUAGAAUUAGGGGUAUAAAAAUACCCACCUGAAAAAAAAAUGAGCACAUGAAGGCUCACAAGAAAAUAAAAGAGUUAUGAUAGCCAUGUCUAGAAAUACUUGAUGAGAUCAUAUCAACCAACGGAGUUGUUUAUACCAUAUACCACACACUUGCACAUCUUGAUCUAAGGGUAUGACACUUCUCUUCUUGGAUCCGAGAUUUUACUCGACAAUACAUACAAGGUAAGUAUGCAUUCUGCUUGGUCCAUACCCAAAACUCCAAAUACAGCUUAUAGAGGUAGGACAAAUCAAGAGGUACUUUUACCUUGGUAAGGAACCAGAAACAUUCUCGAGUGAUUUGAGAGUAUCAUCUAAAGAGCAAGACUAUUUUUAUUCAAAAAGGUAAAAACCCAAGUUUUGAGCAAAGUUGAGUAAGAAGAUUUGAAUCCUAAUUGUUUUGUUUUUCAAUUACUCAAGAAGUUUUGGUAGACACUCUAAAUGCUCAUAAGUUCAGGUGAGGCUCGGAAUAGUUUGUAUGCAGGUUCAUUAUCAGGAGAAGUGGAACCAUCUUAGCCCAAAAACAUAAGCUUUACUCGAGGACGAGCAAAGGGCUAAGUGUGGGGGAGUUUGUUGGUGUUUCUUAAAAUACACUUUUCAUACCGCCAACAUGCAUACAAACUCUAUAAAAUAUCACCAAACAUUAGAAAUAGGGCUUUUCAUGCUAACCAAAUUCCACAGUUUUGGUGAACACAUGUGUUUGUAGGACACUAGGGUUUGAGCCGCCAAAAUCAAAGGAUUGAAGGCACAUUUAAUUCAAAUACAGAAGUGCAUCCAAAUGCAAUUGGAUUCAAACUCAGAAGGCCGAGGAGCAUCGUCUAGGCUUUGGGCCUGGGCCAAUGGAGCCAGCCAGGGGGCGGCCGCCCCCUAGGGUCGGCCGACCCCGGCCUGGCCCAGCUCCCCACCGCCUUUUGCAGAGGCGGUGCAUGCGAAGCCCUAGCGCGGUUCCUGGCUGCAUUUUGCAGUUUACCCCCUCCCAAACCGACCUUCCACACCUAUAUAGGGAGAGGGAGAGGGCCUCUCAUUCAUCAUCAUUCAAUCCAUUCAAGCUUCAAGUCCACAAGAAUAAAGAGAGAUACAAGAGUAGUAGUAGAGAGGUGGAGCUUCCACUCAUAUCCUUAGCCUCUAGUUAGGAAUAGAAUAGGAGAGUGAGUUAGAGUGUAGAGUAAGAGAAGUAGCAAGCACCCGGUCCGUUCCGCUAGUUGCACUGGGCGGAAGGGCCGAAGUGCUGCCCGCUUCCCAAGCUGUACCUCUACAACCUCGAAUACCAUAUUGGGGUAAGCAAAGGUUGUAUUCUUCUUUUCUUCUAAGAAGUUAUUUAGUAAUCGUUAUCGUGUUUUUAUAGUCUUGCGGGUUCGUUGUCUAUCUCUCAGUAGAUACUCUAGUAGAGGGACUCUUGCUGGCUGGCGGGAGGACCUGCGCAACGCUAGAGUAGUAGCUAAUAACGUCGACGUGCUGUCUAGGUUAGAGGUUACCCUCGCUUGCCUCGUAUCCCACGUUUGAGAGGUCGGCAGUAGGUGGUGACAGCCUUGUUUGUCCUUAGUUUCCCCCACGUCCGGAUACGGCGUAGAGCUACACGCCGGUAUUACCUAGCAGACCAGGUACGCUCCGGUGCCCAAAGUAAGAUUAGAAAAGCAGGUUGCCUUGCACAAAACUUCUACCAUUAGGAGAACCUCACUACCUAAGUCAUCCCUCUCACUUUAAUCUAGGGUACACUUAGUUUAAGUCUCAAAACACCUCCGUUCCCUGUGAAAUCUCAAUACCCUGAAUACCACCGGGUGAAGUGCUACAACGGUACUUCCGUGCGCUUGCGGAUAAUUGGCUGCGUCGCUAAGAAAUACCAACACGCAGUCCAUGGUCUCAGACCGAGACCCGGUGUUUACUUCUAUUUUUCUGGAAGGAGCUGAUGAGACUCAUGGGAGUGAAAUUGCACAUGACUACGGUGUUUCAUCCACAGUCCGAUGGCCAAACGGAGGCUGCCAACCACGUCAUUGCCAUGUACCUUCGCUAUUUUUCAGGGAACAGGCCCCAGGACUGGUUGCGGUGGCUGCCGUGGGCGGAAUGCACCUACAACACAGCCUACCAGUCAUCCCUGCGGGAGACACCUUUCCGCGUGGUCUACGGUCGCGAUCUGCUGUCUCUCCGGUCUUAUGAAGCUGGCGAUACUCGGGUCGCUGCAGUGGCCCAAUAGAUGGAAGAACGGAGCAAUUCUUGGCGGACGUCUGGCAUCGGCUGGAACAGGCACAGGUCAUGCAGAAGCGCUACUACGACAAGACACACCGGGCUGUGUCCUAUGCUGUUGGGGAUUGGGUGCUGCUCCGCCUUCGCCAUCGACCUGUGGCCUCCCUGUCCCAAGCGCCGAAGAGCAAGCUGCAGCCCUGCUUCUACGGGCCGUACCGCGUCUCCGAGAUCAUCAACGAGGUGGCUGUGCGCCUCGAGCUACCUCCCCGCGCCAAGCUGCAUGACGUCUUCCACAUCGGCCUCCUCAAGAAAUGGGUUGGCGCGCCCCCGCCUGCGCCUCCACCGCUGCCCACAGUGCACCAUGGCGCCGUCAAACCCGAGCCGGAGCUUGCUGUUCGCGCGAGGGUCGGUCGGGGUGUCCGCCAAGUUCUCGUCCGUUGGAAGGGCGAGCCAGCUGCUUCUGCUACAUGGGAAGACCUCGACUCCUUCGUCGCCAAGUACCCAACGUUCCAGCUCGAGGACGAGCUGGUCGUCGAGGGGGGAGAGAUGUCAUGUACGGUAUCCCGUACUCUAGGAGACGCCGCGCCCGCGACGUACGCAAGGCGACCGAGCGCACGCGGGCCAGGUCCAGCAUGUCGUAGGGGGAAGGUGCCCAACAGACUAGGGGCUAGAUUAGGAAAUAAAAUUAUAAUUAGCCUUAUAUUUAGGAGAGUUUUACUCCAACUAGUAUUCAGCCCUUGGCUAUAUGUACAUGUAAUCAGGACUUUGAUAUAUUAAAAAAAGUAUUGUUACCCUAAUCUCUCUCUCUGCCAACGAUCUCAAGCCCGAGCCGCCGAGAGGGGUAUAACCUCCGCGAUCGGAAGACAAUGGCAGGAGACUACGAACUCCGUAGUCGAGGGCCACCUACCCUAGAUCACCAGGCCCUUGACACAAAGUAUGUGGUAUUUUUGGUAUGAGGCAUAAUGAUAUUGACGUCUCUCUCACCCUAUUCUAAUAUGGUUUUGAUAUCUGGAGCUCAUAGGUGGGAGACAGCAACUAUAUACUUACAAGACAUUUAUUGCAUAGUCAAACCAUGGAUCCAGAGAAACAAGUCAAUAAGUUAAAUCAAGAUGUGCAUGUGUGGCGAGUGAAUGGUGUAUGGUGACGAUGGUGAUAACAAUGGUGAAAGUCUAAUUCUAUUUUUGCUCUUUUAAGGGGAUACAUACCUUUCUUGCACUUUAACGCUUUUUGAGGGGAAUGAGAUGCUCUAUAUUUUGUUUUUCUUUUUCUCUCAGGUUGGUAUCUUGUACCCUAAUUCUACUGUCGAACACUUGUCCAUUUUUACCUCUCGUCUCACUUUUUCUUUUCUUCGAGGUUCCGGGCACUUGCCCCUUUUUAUUUCCUCAUAUCCUCUUUUUUUUUUCUUCUUUUUUUAGAGCACUCAUCUCAUGAAAUAAUAUAGCAAGUGGUAGUAACCAAGAUAACUCGAGCAUUUAUUUCACAGGGAAAAAUAGAAAUAGGAUAAUCUUUUUGGCUAUUCUCUCCAGGAUUAGGAGUAGAAUACUUUUGGAUGGCUCUAGAGAUGGAAAUGAGUGGAUAUAUGUGGAUGUGUACUUCCGGAGUAGAAGUGAGUGACGUGCAAGUGAAUCUUGAUUUUAACCACAUGACAAGCUCCUAAGGGUCUACACAGCUUGACCACACUCAAUGCUCAUAAGCAGUAAAAAGUAAAUGUGUGGCUCAAAGUCUAAUAAGCAUGUAUAUAAGGCUGUGGUAGGAUUUUAAACUCUCAUCAUACAGGAACUCAUCAUGCAACAUUUUAAAUAUUUUCAAAGAAAAUUCUCCAGAAUUCUAGCAUCUCUAGGAAUAGAUAAACAGCAGCUCAACCUUCCCAUAUCAUAUCCGUUAACGACUUAGACUUUAGAUCAAGUACUUUUCCCACAAGUUUAGAUUUAGAGCAGGUUUAAAUUAUAACAGUUAUACCUAAACUUGAGAGAGAUUUUAAUUUUAAGAACUAGUCAUGGCAGAGCAACUAUUCAUCAUUUCCAUGUGAGAGUUUAUCAUGAGGGUUCAUAGCAAACUUUAUUUAUUUAUUUAUUUAGCAAACUAAGCAAAGAUAUAUAUAAAAGCACAAAAUCUUUAUUUGAGUUUUUAUGAUUAUGCAUCUUUUUUUUAUUUGAGUAAAGUAUAAACGCAAGUAGAAACACUUAGCUGGAUAAAUGGGGGUGCUCUCCCCCAAGCUGGAUUUUGACGUAAUUUCUUCUGAUGUAGCUAGCAGGCGGCAGAGCUGUAUUUGAAUGUCGGCAGCACCCUGAUAGCGAUUAGGAUGUCCUCCGUCUCCUAGUCUUCUUUGAUCCUUGAAUUCUGUGGAGCUCAAAUAGACAACAAAGCUUUAUGGAACUGAUUAGGUGUUAGCAUAAAUAUCUAGCCUUUAUCAUGUUGAGACUCGUCAAUAAAUGUUAUUUAUUUAGAAGGAUCAUGCACUUAUUAUUUUUAUAUUUUUAUUGUAAGAUGAAAACAUAUUUAUUUAUGCGACCACAGUGAAUGUACCUAUGGGUUUUAUGCCAUGAGCAUACUCACAUGGGGCUUACUAUUUCUAACAUUUUUAUUUUCUUUUCAAGAUGAUAUGAACCUGAUUAACUAAGCAAACUAUUUUAAAUAAUUGAAAGGAAAAGGAUAACUACCAAGUUUACCUCUUGGCAAGGCGUUCGGUGUUUUUAAGUCCUCCGAACGGGACUCUCCGUUUUCUCAAUCGUCUUGGGAUUAACUAGAUGGCGUAGUCAGUGGUUCUGGUGGCGCCUCCUCUUCGUGUAUAACUAUCUUCUCUCUCCACACCUGACUCGGUGCUACGGUCUCCUCAAGACAGUUCUGUUCAAGUUGUAUGUCUUCAUUCUUUACCACUUCUCCUUCGUAGUCUGCCCAUCCGUCCUUGAUGAUUUGCCUCCUUUGGUUUCGGUUGCGUCAUCUUCAGAGGGGAAGUGCAUGUGGACUUCUCCGGUUCCAAUGAUGGCUUUGAUGGUGUUGAGGAACGGUCUCCCAAGGAUGGUGAGUGGAUCGUACUCGUCUUCUCCCAUGUCAAUGACCUGAAAAUCAUCUGGAGGUGAAUAUAUAUCGGUUAUUGGGGCAUGGUUCCAUGCAGGAGCUGAUAAGUGACUACGGCCAUUAUGUUAUCGUCAGAUCUGGUGUCGUAGAGUGUCUUCUAAAAAGAGUAUCCAUUGAUUGUGCACUCGAUGCAUGGAACACCAGGGUCGUCCUUCUUGAUCAGGAGAGGCAACUUGAGUCGACGAUUUUAAGUCUUUUAGAUAAGACUUCUCACCGUCUUCAUCCUUUAGGUGCAUCAUUUGAUUAGGUGUGGACCUUGACGUCUGCACCUCUUGAUACGAAGUCACCCAUGUUCUUUGUUUGCACAGCAGUUCGAAGUAUGGUGUUGGCAAUAUCCUGCUCAGUGUGUUUGUGCUCGUAGAUCCAGGUCCUUCACUUGGAGUCUGGGAGUUGUAAAACUCCUCCAUGUUUUGUUUGAAGUGUACCUGUUCAUAGAGACAAGGCAGAGAUCAAGUGCAUGGGCCCUGUUGGUGGAAAACACCAACAGAACCAAAAGUGUAUUUGUUCUUCUCUAAUCCUUAAGCAUAGUGAGCAAGACAAAGUUGAUGGAUCAUGAGUGUAGCAUUUGUCAGAUCAGAUGGCUCAACCUAAUGGAAAGAUAAUCUAUCUAUAUUUAUGUUUUGUUUAUAUCUUCCAAAGAUUGAAUGUGCAACAUAUUAGCUUAUAUGAUUAGGAGUGUGGGAUCACAAAGGUAGUACUAAGAACAAAGAUUAAAGGACUAAACAUGUUGAAUUAAUUAGGUUGGUUAAUUUGGAGCUACAAAUCAUGCAUGUUUGUCUCUUUUAUUCAUGUAUAUGCCAGAACCAAGGAGAAGCUUAUAAAAGUGAUAGUCAAGUACCUUAAGGUGUUGCCUUACUUGAAGAGUGAUGGUAUAGUAUCACCUUCUAGAACCUUUCCUUUCUUAGUGGUUGUGCAUCGUGUUUGUGGCACCCUCCAUAGAUCAUCUCUUUAUGAUGAAUGAGCUAUGUCCUUCUCGUGCAAAUUGUUAAACUUCAUGUGUCUCCUUUAUCUCCAAUGAGUUUGUAUCUCAGGACUUCCUAGGUUGAUAUUGAAUGUUUUCCUGCAGGGGUUAGUCCGGUAAAAUAUACCAAUGCCUACUCAAGCAGUUUUUAGUUCAGUAACCAAACUAGACUCCAUGUCUAAUCAGAUUAAGGAAGGCUAUUUAACCUAAGCACCACGCUUAAUUUAAAAGCCAAUAGAAGUAUGUACAGUACGUUCAAACUAACACUUACUAAGAUAAACAUAGGUAGCAUGAUGCCUUUUAUAGAGAUCUACUCAAGUGGAGAUGAAGUAGUGUGAUUAGUAUGUCUCAAAGGUAUGGACAACCAACAUAGCAACAUGGCAAGUGAUGUUUUUAUGUGAAGUAUUUCCCCCAAGCUUGAAUUUUGCAUAAUUCAAGAUUGGAUGAAUUUAAUUCAAUGUUGCAUGAUGAUUGGUUGGGCAUACCUCGUGCUUGUCAUUCCUCGUAUCUUCUUGCUCCAAUCCUAGAAAGGUUAGUGACAAGAAUACCCGAAGGAAUAUUUUUACAAUUAUCCUUAUAUGCUCAAUACAUAAGGUAAUGUUGCAAUUAAUUAGAAGUUCAUGUCACGAUCUGAUAAGUGCUUGUUUUAUGACACUAAGCUUGUCCUUGGGAAACCAUCAAUCAACUCAACGAUAUCUGCAAUAUUUAUUAUAGACAUAUGCAUCGACAACCGCUCUUUUAAAGUUGUUAUAAAUAGAAAGGAAGAGAGGGUUGGAGAUCUCAAAUGUGGUGAUAGCACAUGGAUUUUUAAUGCCCUCUAGCCACUGAUGUUGCUCUUCUCGAUCCUCCUUAUGGUCUUGGUGACUCUUAUGCAUGGGAUGUCUAGAGAGAUUCAUAGGAUCAUCGGGAGGUUCAAGAGAAAGAGAAGAGUAGAAAUUAUUAGGCUCAAGGAUGGGUUUGAUAGCCGAAUCAUGGGAUUGAAAUGUUUGGAAAUCGGCUAUUGAAACUUCCUUUCCUUGUCUGGGAGCUGAUUCCUUCUUUAUCUCUAGGAAUUUUUUAUGAAGACUAGUGCAAGAAGGAUGUCCAUGAAUGAAGACAUACCUUGCUUUACUAACAGAUAAAGAAAGAAAACCUCUACCAAAGGUUAUAUGAUUAAGACCAAUGUGAAAAUAUCGAGAAAAAACAUGGUCUUGUAAGGCUAAGUCUAAACCAGAAUUUAUAGAAAGAUUAACAAAUUCCCUAGGUGUAGCUAAAAGUUCAUUAUCUUCUUGAUUAAAAGAUAGGACCUCAGCUAUAGAAAAGGGUUGGUUUUGACCUAUUGCAAUCAACUCCGGACACAGAUCAUAAUUAGGGGCAAAGAAAGGACUUGUUGACUCCCAUGGUCUAUGGCUGGUCUCCGAAGGUGCAAAAAAUUCAAUAAUAGGUGUGGAAUUUGAGUUAUCCAUAAAGAUAGAAAAAAUAAAAAGAUAAAAGAAUAGAAAAAUAAAAGUAUAAUACAAGAUAAUAGCAAGACUCAAAGUUUUCUCAGCAAACCAUCUUUCUCCCCGACAACGGCGCUAGAAAUGCUUGUUGAUAUUUGGUAACGCCAUCAGAAAAUGAUCCACAAGCGCACAGAUAUCGGUGAGCAUUUCACCCGGGAGGUUAUCUAGAGUAUCAUAUUUAUAUUUUUACCACUGGGAGAAAGCGUGCAUCUGACUAACCAAAUCUAUUGCUACUACCCUUUAGGCUACAAACAAUGUGAUUCGAUGUGAGCGAUGUAUAGAGAAGACUACAACCGCACUCUCGUUCUAACCUUGGUAAGGAUGAUCUACUAUUCUAUUGGGGAGGCUCAUGGAAUCUAGACACCACAGAGGAUGUUCGACCCGCACCUAUAAACCCUAUCGAUCCUUCUAGCCCAAACGCCAAGUUUACGCUAGCAAUGAUUACUCGCAGCUCUUUCGAGGGCACCUCUCAACUCUAUGAUGAUGUGUUCUCCUCCAAGGGCCAGGGGCCUUGCUUAUAUAGCCUCCUCCUUUGUGCCUUUUUGGUUCAGCAGGCGAUGUGGUACUAAACUUUCCACUAUAUCUCAUUAAAAUGCACAUAGGCCUUAAUUGACCAAAAUCUGAUUUGGGCCCAAUUAAUCCCGCAGCUCUUUUAUGUGGAGUCCUUCUUUUAUUAAUAUCUCUUGAUUCCGAACUCCAAAUAUUACAAAUAAUAUAUGCAUUUCAAUCAGCUCAACGAGAUCUUUGUAAUGGUGUACUCCAUUCUAUGAUUGGUGCUUGUACCAGGGCGGGUGCCCAAGGGGGAGGGCGGGUGCCCUGCCCCCAGGCCCGUUCGGCCUCCCGUUCGUUCCCGUGGCUUCUGGACUCUUCUAGAUGAUAUAAAAUUGCGCGGCACGUUAAUAUCUCUAUGCAAACCCGACGUGUGGUCUUUCCUUCAUAUUUCCUGAUAACCCCCUGCAGAAAUAGACAAACACCAAAACUCGUGGAAUUCUAUCAGAUAAAACCCUAAGUCUGGGUGUUGGUUGCAUUUGGAUCCUUUUCUUUAUUUAGUUGAUGACUAUAUUUGGUACUUAAGGACCGUCAACAACCAUCACUUGGGUUCAUGUGGCUACAGGACUGCUUUUCCUAAGUGGCAAAAGCUGGAACAGGAGAUUCUUGGGAGAGGGAUCGAACCAGAAUCAAUGCACUGGCCUGAGCGCGCCAAGUAUUGGUUCUUCGGUCAUGGGGGAACCAUAGACCUAAGACCGAAAAGAUAGUGUACGGCGAAAAGCUCGAGAGAGUAGGUCAGAGAAUGGCCUAUGCUAGAGGAUUAGUUGAAAGUGGCAUCUAGCAGCCAAAUAGAGAAAGGAUAAGCUGACAUACGCCCUGGAGACUACUGAACACGGUGGGCGAACAAGAGGCUAUGGGGAGGUAUCGUGGGAGCAUGGCUUCUCCAAAGAUAGACCGACUUAUAGAAGCCGCCAACGAAAGAAGGAAGAGGAAGCAGAGCGGUUGCGUAGGUUGGAGGCAAUGGUGAUGGAGUCACGUGAAGUGGCUCGUGAAGCGAUAGCGCGAGAGAAAGCGCUUGAAGAGAGAAUGAACGAGGAGAUCAAAAGACAAGUGCAGAUGGCAAUAAGUUCUAUAUAAGGGCAAACUGCAUCAGAGCCUAGAGUCAACAUUAGCCCCCCCGGUCAUUUGAAAAGCAGUUGCGCUUCCACGGAGAUGCCAACUAUUCAAGACGACGUGGGGCUGCACUUUCCGGUGGAUGACAUCACUGAACCUCUGACUACAUGUGAGCUGCACAUUCCAUAGGGGACUGCCACAGUCUUGGUUGCUGUCACUGUUGUAACUCCUGUCGACCCUACGAGGACACCAAGAAUCCAUGGGGCGAUAGGUCCACCUGAAUAUUCUAGUGUCUCGGUGGAUAGAGUUGUCAAAGGCUAAAGUAAUGUGCAGCUUGAGAUAGAAGGAGGUGAUGGAGAGAAGACUCUAGGAGGAGCAGAGAAGACUUUUAUUUGUUGGGGCAAGCGCUAUAUCAUUAUUCCUAGGGCAUCACCUAGUAGUUUACCACCACCUCCUCGUCAUGAAUCUAAUCCUAGGUGCGGAUGAAAAUUGACUAUACAUUUGUUCACUUACUUUAUUUUGCAUUCUCUUAGUUAGUGGUUUACUCAUAUACCUUUUGGUUUCACAGGUGGUCACCAACAUGUCAUAGUGCUGCGGGUGACGACGAGAGAGUGCAAGACACGGCUGCAUCGCCUCGGUCUCCAACGCCACCACCUCAGGCUCCAACGCCACCACCUAGGGCUCCAACACCGCCACCUCAGGCUCCAACACCGCCACCUCAGGCCCCAACACCGCCACCUAGGGCUCCAACGCCACCUGGGGCUCCAAUGCCGCCUCCUCGGGCUCCAACACCGCCACUUGCCAGCCCAUCGCCUCCACACGUGGCUCCAGCAUGAAAGAAGAGGCCGGCCACACAAUCAAAUGUGUCGUCCCGCCCGCCACCAAAAAAGAAAGCCUCCGAAAAGAAACAAGCUAUCAUUCCUAAGAAGCUGGCCUAUGAGAUGACUGAUGCAGAAAUAAAUGCUUCAGUAAAACAGACGUGGAUAGUUCCUUCAAGAAACUUAAGACUGAAAGAGAAGCCAAGCAAAACCCUAAGAAGCCAUACCUCUUACUACGGCCAGAAGAUCGACGACAAAGUGUUGAGGCUCAACAAAAAAGAGGCGUGAAGCUCAGAAAGAAUCAUCAUCUUUAUCGGACUAUGAUCGCACUUUAAGGAAAUCCAUAGAAGAAGAGAAGAAGAAAGAGAAAAGAGCAGGCAAGGGUGUAGCACAGCUCGGGGAACAAUCAAAGCAAUCAGUGCCCCCGCUAGUCAUUGGAAAUGAAUAUGGUUCAAACAUUGACGUGCUAGACCAGCAGAUACCGGCAGAUUUAAAAUUUGAUGAGCUUGAAAUUUUUUUUUGCGGAAACUGGUAUUAGCUUAGCCCAAAUGAUAGCUGGGGCACCAAUUGAAAGUGCUCUAGAAAUUGAUCAUUGGCAGAAGGAAUAUACAUAUGGCAAGAGUUUAUACAACCCUGCGGCCCUCAGCAAACUUGGAACAGAAAUGUACAUGCUAAACAAAUGGUACAUGGAAGCGUGUGUCAGAAAAGCAGAUGACUAUCUUUGUGUCCGAAUUAGAAACUAUCAUUACUUCCGUGGUGAUGAUAUUAUUUAUGUUCAAUUUAAUGAGCUACACCAACUAUGCCACAUGGACGCUCAUGACAAGUCUCUAAUGAGUUGCUUCUGUCUAUAAGUGAUUAUUUCUUUCAAUAAUGUCACUGUAACUUAUCAUGUAUAUAUAUAUAUAACUAAUUACAGAAACCCGCUAUACAUUGGCAGAAACAUGAUGAGGGACCUUAGAGUUAGAAAUGACAAGGAGAUUGGAUUUGUGGAUCCAAAUAUUGUGACCAGAAAACCCCGUAUGUCUUAUAGAGAACUCAAACGGAGAGAAAUCUACGGAGGAUCUUGAUCAACCAAAAAGAUAAAAGAUAUAUACUCUUUCCCUACAACUUUAAGUAAGUGUCGUUAUCGUGUGUACCUUCUAUUUAACUAAUUAAUCAGAUAAGUAUGAAGAUAUAUACUAAUUUUGCCUACAUGCACACAAAUGCAGCUUUCAUUGGAUACUAAUUGUCAUUGAUCUCUGGCAAUGUCAAUUGGUAAUCUAUGACUCGUUGAGAAAACCACAGGACGAUUACCAAAAAAUGAUAGAUAUUAUCCAAGGGUAACUCCGAUCUCUAUAUAUUAAAUUCUACUGUUUUAACUUGGUAAUAGAUAAUUAAUAAUGAUCGUUUUAUUGCUAGGGUUUGGGCUGGGUUCGUGCAGAAAUACCGUCCAGAGUUGAAUGCAGCACUUUCAAAGCCCAUCUUACUUCAGUGGGUUCUACGGUAGACACCGGGCAACAAUUUGUGUGGCUACUAUGUGUGCGAGUUUAUGACGGUCUAUGCCAAAAGAACUAAUCUUGAGCACUUAAAAGUAUGUAACAUGUAUAUAUAAUAAAUUUAUUUCAUUUAUUUGUUGCUAUUUAAUAAAUCCUAUUCAUACCUCUAACUUUUUUCUUUAAUGCCUAUUAAAGGAGAUGUGGCUGAAGGAGCAGGUGUUGGAUGCGGUGCGCCUACAAGGAAUUCUGGAGACAAUCGCAGGAUUUCUUAACGACUAAGUCCUGAAUCCCGGCGGCGAGUGCUACUUCAACCCUCCGGAGCCAAUGAAACCAAAUCACGAUGAUCAUUUGUAUGAUGCUUGAGUGGCGGAGAUAAAUUGUGUUGUAAAUACUUUGUCCGUGAAGCAUAUGUGUAAAUAUUAUAUUAUGGACCUAUAGAUACAUAUUAUAUAUAUAUAUAGUGUUUUAUAGUAUAUUUAUAUGUAAUGCUUUAAAUUAUAUAAAUUAUAGGUCCGCGUUCCAUAAACUACCAGCAAACAAUACGCAUUCGAAAAUAACAAUAACAUAAUUGUAAACCCUAAAUGGAAAACCAAAUGAAAAGAAAAAGAAAAAAGAAAAAAGUGUUUAGUCCCGGUUGGUAACAUCUGAGACUAAAAGUGGAGGCCAGGUGGCACACCCUGGCGCACCUUUUAGUCCCGAUUGUUGUUACCAACCGGGACUAAAGGUAGGCCUUUAGUCCUGGUCCGCGGAACCGGGACUAAAGGUGGGACAUUUAGUCCCAAAACCGUAGCCCCGGUUCCGUAGCCGCGACUAAAGGCCCUUACGGCCCGGGGCUAAAGCCCUUCCCUGUACUAGUGUAUUUAUCCUUGUCUGGUAGCUCUGCAGAAAUGACUUUGUCAUAAGCAUCUGGGGUUGUUAAGUUCCUGCCUUUCUUCAUUAUUAGUAGGAUGUGUUCAUGUGGAAGCCCCCUCUUUUGGAAUUCAGUGACAUGGACAUAUGCUGCCACCUCUCUAAAAUACCUUUUCUUGAUCAAUAAAUCCAUCAAGGACCGCAGCUUGGCCCUAUAUACUCUUGAAACGAGCUCUGGCCUAUCUUGUGGUUGUUGGCCAGGCUCAAGAUUCCGAGUAAUCUCGUCCCAGUAUGGAUUGCAAGUCAUGGUGAUGAAAUAAUCUGGUUUUCCAAAACGUUGCACUAUAGCCAUUGCAUUAAGAAAUCUUUGCAUCAUGUCACAGUCACCACCUGGGAAACUACGGGGUAGCACUACUCUCUUCCCAACCUCUGAAGCCCUUGUCUCUCCAGCAGAAAUUACAUCAACCAAACACUACGUAAAAUAUAAAUUAUAGAGCAUGUAAUAUUUAUUUAGUUUUGAAUUGUAAAAUAUUGCAUAACUCACCUGAUAUAGUUAUGCUCGUAUGAGUUUUUGGUUAUCAGGGUUAGAAUACCAAUCUAGCCCCAUAGACUCAAUCUUUACGUACAUGUCAACUACCCAUUGUUGGAAAAGUCAUCCUCUAAAUAGCAAUAUGUUAAAAAUCCCCUCUCUAACUUGCAUCAAAUAUCAAUAGUACUCUCUUGCUGUCACAAAUCUUUCAGAUUGUCGUUCCUCCACCAUGGUACUCAUGUUUUCACCUUGUUGUAUGUCCGCAUCAUCCUCACCUUGCUCUAUGUCACACCAAAAAUUAUAUAUAUAUAUAUUAAAUGUACCCAUGUGUGUUGCUUAUGCAUUGGAAAUCAAAUCAUGUUCGGUACCUGUUGGAUGUAAUGCUUCUCUUGGAUCAACCAAGGUGUGUUCUUCUCUAUCAGUCACUGUGUCAUUGUACGGCAUAAAUUUAUUCCAGCCAGUUUCCCCCUUAGGGUUUAAUAAUGGGUAUGCCAACAUCAUAGCAUCCAUGAUAUGCUUUGAUAUACCGCGGGCGAUCACCUCUAGCAUAGACAAGCACACUCCUAUCAAAACAUCUUUGGGGAUCAUUGCCAUCUGACCAGAUAGCUGCGACCUGUGACGCCGUGGGUGCAUUGUACCUUAUUUUCAGCAAAGUAAUAUAUAUAUAUAUAUAACAAAUAAAUCAAAUAUUUGUGUAGAAUAUAAAUAUUUAGAAAUACACGCACAAUUCUUAAACAUGCGUACCUUCGCUGGUCUGGUGUGACAUUAGUAUUGAGUUCAAUUACAUAGUCAUUAAGAUUCGGAAUAGCUCCGAUUCUGUUAAAGGUUUGUACAUAUGGGUUGCCUUCCAUUAUUCGCAGCACCUUUCUAAUAAGAUUGAUAUCUAGGUCUGGCGAUCUCUUCUUCCUGUGUGCUAAACUAUCAUCCUCAAUAUCAUAAAAGUAGAGUUGCAAGUGGCGAGCUCCUUUAGAACCUGGGACCAAAUGGUCUAGGUGAUGAUACAAGGCCCCAUGCACACGGAAUGUAUAUAUACCAGUCCCUGCCGCUGUGGCAACUCGUCGAUCCAAGGUUACUCCAAGGCUCGUGAAAGAGAAGUGAGAGUUGAAGUACCGGAUAUUUUGUCUGAAAUAUUUCGCAUCAUUAUCUACCUGACUUGUGAAUAACCUUUUAAGCUCAUCGGGCACUUGUGGAACAUGUACUUUUAUCUUUCCUUUCCUGCAACAGAAUCCAGGUGAUUCAUAUUGAAAUCUCAUUGCUCCACAGUACAAGCAGUUAGGCUCCUUUCUCAGAACAUGGUGCUUAUUAGGCAAAUUUUGGUAGACAUAAUCAUAAGGAUCUUCAUUGUUAUUCAGAUCAACACCAUUGCCACUGACACGAUAGGACUAAAAGGCACCAUCUGCAAAGAUAGUAAGAAUUGGUUGUCAUUACACAAGACUAAUAAUAUUAUUAUAUUAUUUAGGUAGAUAAAAGGCGCCACUCAAGAAACAGUUACCUUCACCAAUGUAUUGUCUGGCUUCAUCGUCAGCAAGAAGAUCAUCAAUAUCUAAGACAUGUGGUGCCUCCAGAUGCUCAUCAUCUGCAUGAUUUUUGCUUGAACAUUAGUUAUUAUCUAUAUCUUAUUAAUUAGGAAUAGACAAAAAUCAUAAUUUACUGAGGAUAUAGAAAUAGGACACACCUUCAUCAGAUUCAUUGUUUGUAGGCUCGAACAAAGCACUAUCAAAUUCUAUAUCACUGUGCUCGAUAAUUGGCUGAGCAGCCUGUUUACCGGCUGAAUGUGAUCUCAUAUUUAUACUAUAUUCCCUCUUUUUCGCAACAAUAUUUCUUUGCUGUUGUCAUCCAUAUUGCUGUACCUCUCUCUUUGUGCGAGGGCCUUUUUAAUAUUUGAGUUGCCAAUUGGUGAACAAUAGUUGCAAAACAUUAGCUAAGUUUUUUUUUGACAAGGAAACCAUACCUAUGUUGUCGUUUGUUAUUUCGCCUAAAGCAGUGCUUUUUUUUCCAAAUCUGCUUGCAAAUUGCAAUACUAAUAUUUGGCUUGAACAAUGACUUCGUCUAUCCAAUUUAACGGUGACAAACAAGAGAUAAUAAUAUAUUAAUAGUUGCCAUUUUAACAAGGACGCAACUAGUAAUAAAGUGUAAUAUGAUUGGACCAAUCACAAAUCAUACUAACAUGCUGCUGCACCUUUCAUCGGGAUGUCUGAACAACCAAUAAAUAAGAAAAGAACAGUACAGUUUGACUGCUAGCAGCGAUCAGCAGAGCACAUACUGCGUUGGAGCAUAGAGGUGGGGAAAAAAUAUUUAGAGAAAAAGCACAAGGACCCAAGUAGUAACCAUGGAUGUAUCACUGCAAUAUGAUUAGACCAAUCAUAAAUCAUACUAACCUGGUUGAACGCGCCGCCGCCUUUCAGUGAAUGCGUCCUGGUUGAAGGUGCCUCCGCCUCCGUUCGACGAACGAGUUGUGGUUGAGCGCGCAAGCACCACUGUGGACGCCCAAGAAGAGCGCCCCGCCACCGCCGACGUUUGACGACCGCGCCACCACCGCCGCCGCUCGACUAAUGCGCUGCUGCCCGCCCGCCGACCGACGAAUGCGCCGCUGCCCGCCGAUGUUGCACGAACGCGUCCUGGUUGAGCGUGCUUCCGUGGCCGUCGACGUUCGUGCGUCUGCUGCCGCUGACUGCGCCGCUGCCGCUGCCGUUCAGCGAACGCGCCGCCGCCGCUCGACGAAUGCGCUGCUGCCCGCCCGCCGACCGACGAAUGCGCCGCUGCCCGCCGAUGUUGGACGAACGCGUCCUGGUUGAGCGUGCUUCCGUGGCCGUCGGCGUUCGUGCGUCCACCGCCGCCGCCGUUCAACGAACGCGUCGCCGCCGCCACCGCUCGACGAAUGCAUUGCUGCCCGCCCCCGACCGACGAAUGCGCCGCUGCCGCCGAUGUUGGACGAACGCGUCCUGGUUGAGCGUGCUUCCGUGGCCGUCGGCGUUCGUGCGUCCGCUGCCGCUGCUUUGCCACUGCUUUGUCUCUGCCGUGUCCCCUGUUUCGUGUAUCACCGACCUCUCACAAUCUUGGAGUCAAAGCUCGGUGGACCGGGCAACUGAAACGACGGGAUUUGGGAGAUCGUGACUGGGCGAGCGAAGGAAUGCAAGCCUGGCCUGCAUGCCACGCAUGGGAGUUGUGCGGCAGGGGGAUGGAGGGCAGACACACUAAGAGCAUCUCCAAGGGCUUUGCAAAUAGACUUUGCAUUGACAUAUUUGAAAAAAAAACUAGAAAAUACCCCUCUAAUGGUUUUGCAAUUGAGGUUUCCAAUUUGGUAAACUUUGCAAAUAGAGGUUGAGCCUUUGCAUAUAUGCCAACCUCUUCCCCACUUUGCAUCCAGGAAUCGCGUCGGUCCACGUCGGACUCCUGGCGCGCGCGAGCUUCCCUUCCUCCUGGCGAGCGCGAUCUUUCUUCUGCCUGGCAUUCGCGAAGUCGAUCGUAUCGGCGAUCUCCGAUCCCCUUCGCACGGCAGGAGCCGGCCCGUUCGCGACGUCCAUCCGGCUAUCGGCGAUCUCCCCUUCGCGCGCCAGGAGCCCGUUCGCGAAGUCCAUCCGGCCUAUCGGCGAUCGCCAGGAGCCAAAGCAGACCGUCGCGAUCUGGACUUCGCGCGCGAACUCCAUCGUCUUGGCGCGGGGAUCGGUCCUCCAUCGUCCUGGCGCACGAAGAGGCUCUCCCUCCGCCGGCUGAAUACGUCUUCUCGCGUGCGAUCUCCCGUCCUCCAAGGUAUACUCCAUGCAUCCCAAUCUCUCUCCAACUCGGUUCCGAUAGCAGGCGGCCAUUGUUCGUAGGGUAUGAGGUUGGGCGAACGCAUGAAUUAUCGGAUACAUGUUCUGGCCAUGUUUAUUUCAUAUAAAGUUGUAAAAGUUUGCUGUAAUUUUUUGUAGAUCAAAUGGAUGGAAUUGGAUACUAUACGGGUAUUCUCACAUCAGAUUCUGAUGAUCAUAUUACUGGAUUAGAAGACUUGACCUUUCCAACGAUUCCACAAACCCAAGCAAAUACUUAUGAUAUUCCUCUUGAAUCGCAAGAUGAUGUUGUGGAAUUGCAGGCAACCAAAGUUGUUCCUCGCCGUCAUGGUGGCCAGUCUCAUAGGUCUAAAAAAUUUGAUAAAGAGGAAGAUAAAGUAAUAUGUGCAGCUUGGUUGCAAGUUAGCAAAGAUCCAAUUCACGGGGCCAAUCAAAGGCUUUCGACAUUUUGGGGUCGAGUUCAUGCAUUCUUUGAUGCAAACAAAAAAACUGACUCUGCCAGGACAGAGAAUUCACUUAUGCAUAGGUGGAUGACUAUUCAGAAGGAAGUGAACAAGUUCUGUUCGGCAUAUGAGAAGAUUGAGCGUAGGAAUGCUAGUGGAAAGACUAUCCAAGACAUGGUACACUUUCAUAGUUGGUUCUUUUUUUACCUUUUCAAUAUUUGGUUAAUUCUACACAUUUAAUCAUUUUUUAUAAUUUCACUUGUGCAGAUUAAUGAUGCAUUGGAGACGUAUACGGGAGACGACGAAGAACAUAAGUCAUUUGCUUUCAUGCAUUGNNNNNNNNNNNNNNNNNNNNNNNNNNNNNNNNNNNNNNNNNNNNNNNNNNNNNNNNNNNNNNNNNNNNNNNNNNNNNNNNNNNNNNNNNNNNNNNNNNNNUACAAAGCAGAAACCAGCCGCCAAAAAACAGAAGAGUACCAAGGACUCCACGCCGAGCGCAGGGGACGAAAAGAUCAAUGAUGAAGUGGUAGAGGUUGCAGACGCAGGAUCUGCAGAACGUAAGAGGCCACCAGGUCAGAAGUAGGCAAAACAAGCUAGAUGGGGAGGCAACGACGCUUGCAUUGCAGCCUUGGACAAGAUGAUGGAGAAGGAGGAGGCACGUGACAAGGAAAGAGAUAAGGCGAGAGAGGCUUCAUUAGAGGUAGAGAAAGCUUCAAUUGAGGCGGAGAAGAAACUUGCUGAAGCAACCCUGAUGAAGGAGGAGAAAGACAUAAUGCUAGCGGACACGAGCUCCCUCAACGCGGACCAGCUGCAGUGGAUUGAAAUAAUGAGGAAGAAGAUCCUUGCGAGACAUAUGGAAAAUUAGUUUUACUUUUAGCCUACAACUAUAUAUAUUAUAUAUUUGCUUUCAGUUGUGAUUCAGAGACCAUUUGCAUUUAGUCGUACUGGAAUUUACAAUAUUUGGAAUCAUUUAAAUAUUCGUCAUGGUGCUGUGCUGAAUUUUUGGAUUCGUUUAAAAGCGACGUGCAUGGUGCUGUGCUGAAUAUUCAUUUUUUUUCAUGGUGCUGUGCUGAAAGCAGCGUGCAUGGACAAUUCUUCAUUGGAUGCAACAGCUUCUAAAAUGAUAGUUGGCUUGUUCGUAUGCCCCUUGUACUGGCCCUGUGAUUGCAUUGCACAAUUCUUCCAUUCCCAAUGCAUACAAUCGAUGGACCCUAACAUGUCUGGAAAACCACUUUUCUCAUUGACCGCUAGCAAGCGUGCUAUGUCAGCCUCACUUGGGUAUCUCAGAUAUUCGGCUUCAAAUAUUUGUACAACUGCAGUAACGAACUUAUGUAGGCUCUCAAGUGCAGUGCUUUCGCCAAUGCGAAUGUACUCAUCUGUAGCAUCAGCAGAAACCCCAUAUGUGAGCAUACGAAGAGCGGCAGUGACUUUCUGGAAGCAACUCAGACCGAGCACACCUGCCGCAUCCCUUUUCUGCACAAAGUAAUGAUCAUGUGCUUCAACCGCAUUCAUGAUGCGUCGGAAAAGAGGCUUGCUCAUUCUGAAUCUGAACAAAACAAACAAAAGUUCAACACCUCGAAAAAUAGACAAAUACUAUGAAUUAAUGUAAUGUCAAAGAAUAUAACAACCUCCGACGGAAUAAAUCAUCUCCAUACGUUGGAUUAUCCGCCAAAUAAUCUUGAUACAUCCUCCGGUGGCCGCCUUCUCUAUCAUGAAAAAUAACAGCAUAGCCAGGGACCGAACCACCAUGUAUUCGUUUACUUUUAUGCAAAAACAUGCGCACAAUCGAAGCAGCAACGAAGAUGUUGUAGUCCUCGUCGUCCGAAGAAUCGUCAUCCAAUUGCUUUCGGAGACGUGAUCUAGAAGCCCUCAACUAAGAAAAAUUGCACAGCUCAUAAUAUAGAACAAAAUAAACAUGAUUUGGAUCUAGAUAUUCGUAUACGAAGAUGAAACCUUGCGAUGUGCCGUGCACCGAGGCUUGAUCUGUUGUCUGCCAACCUGGAUGCCAUCUGUGCCGUCCCUGGAUGAUCUUGUAACGAAGACGCAAGGAACUGGCAGGGAAUUUUGACCACGCGAGUGGCUUCCAGCGAUUAGUACGAUUUCCAAGCGAUCUGGCUUCCAGCGAUUUCCAGCGAGUGGCAGGCAGCCGCAUAGGAACUGACGGCGGCUCUGUUCCUCACGACGACGUGGGCGCGAAGAGAAGCCAGAACUGGCAGCAACCAAAUGAAUGGCGCGCCAAAACAGAAUUUUUUACGGAAAAAAAAUACGAGACUUGGCAAAAUGCAAAACGGUUGGAAAUCAUAUCUUUUACAACUUUACAAAUUUAUUUAGGACUUUGCAAAUUUCCUCAAAUGCAAAACUGAAAAUGCAUAACCCUUGGAGAUGCUGUAAGGCCUUGUUUAGCAGCCCAGCUUCCCAAGGGGAUCCUAGUCUUUUCCAUGGGCCAAUCUGGCCCGUGCCAGUCUUCCGCGGGACAAAAUUGUGGCCUCUUUGGCAGCCCACAAAGUCGAGGAUAGCAGCCCGUUUCCCUGUGUUCUCCGCGAGGAACCAAUCCACCACUCGUUUAGACCGGGAGAGAUUCCCCGUGCUUUCGCCUCCUCCGCUCCUCGCGUCUCCUGAUGCCACCCAAAUCAAAAAGCGGCGGCUGUGGCGGCUGUGGAGCCAGUAGCCGUCGAGGACCUCUUCACCUCGCUCCACCGCCACAUCGAGGCCAAUGCUUUCGAACAGGCCGUCAAGGUCAUCCACUCCAUGUCCUUCCCUCACGCGGUUCUGAGUCUCGUACCCUAACCCCGUUCGAAUCUGACUCGCACUCGUUCCGCAGUUCUCAAGACGGCGCCGGGGGAUGAGGAUGUGGUGCGAUGCAAAGCGGUGUGAUGCAUCAACGCCGACGGGAUCGGUAAGUUCCUCGUCAAGAUCCGCGCCGCCGAGCGCCUCCCGAUCGACCUCGGCUACUACGUACAAGGUGAUGCGACUUGUCCUCUCUUGCUCGCUCGCCCGAUGGGUCUGUUUGUUUUCUGGUUUUUAUCCUCUGGUUGUGGUUAGGAUGCGCGAGUGGUCAGAUCUGUAUGCUUUUAUAUCCUAUGAUAAAGUAAAUCGACCGUUUUGUGUUAUUUAAACGGAAAUUUCACUUUAUGAGCUUCUCCAAUGUAGUUUAUUGCUGAUGUUGGUCACUUUGUGUACUGAAAUUUGCUAUUGAGGUCAUGCGAUUCGGCAUAAUCAGUUGCAUUCAAUGUUUUAAAUAGCGGGCUAAGCCUCUUAGCGUCAGCCUCUCUAAAAGGCUAAAAAAAGCUAUAGCGUGCUAAUAGCGAGCUAAGCCAUUUAGCGGCUGAGCAAAAAAUUUGUCAAACAUCAUGUAAUUUUACACAUAAUAAAGAUGAAAACAUUAUGAAUACCAAUAUGGAUAGAUAUUUCAAAGUCUUACUAACAUAUUACAUCAAAGUUCAUAUAUGAUACAUCAAUAAUAACAUACAUAACAUGGUGACAUAUCUCUGCUAUUUGGGCCUCCAAGUUAUUUGGGCCGAUGGAAAUGAAGCCCAAGGCCAAAUAACGGCGCUAAACUAAUCCAAUUUAGCGAAAUUAGCGCGCUAUUAGCUGCUAAUAGCGGGAACAAUCAUUUAGCGCUAAAAUCUUCAUAGCUUAGCAGUUCUCUUCCAGAAACGUUAAAUAGCGCUAUAGCGUCCGCUAUAGCGCGCUAUUUAGAACAGGGGUUGCAAUGCAUGCUGCGGUUCUGAGCUCUGUCUAAACUUAUUCAAAUGUUAGGAGAAUGACAUCGAGGGGUGGGAAAGGGAGCAGAAAAUCAUGCAUGCUGUACUUGUGCAUUUCAAUUGCGAUGAUCAUCCCAGAUUUUUGUUAGCGGCAGUUCUGUUUUUUGGGAUUGUAGUUGAUUAAGUCACUAGGUACGUGCCCACACUGUUGGUCACCAUCCGUGUGAAGAAAGUUAUGUACUAAGAUAAGCCAUAUAUAUAUAUAUAUAUAUAUAUAUAUAUAUAUAUAUAUAUAUAUAUAUAUAUAUAUACAUACGGCAACGCUAUUCUACACCCUAGGUGUAGAAUAUUAUUCUACACCGCAUGUCAAAACUGAGCAGAAAAAAAAUACUCAGUAAUACUGAACAACGUUCAGUAUCAUCCAGUCGUACACCAGGACCGCGAAAUACUAAAUAAUACUAAAAUACGGGUGUUGAACAAUAUUGAAUUUUGUUCAGUAUAACACUUUGGUGUAGAAUAAUAUUCUACACCUAGGUAUAUACGGUAGCGCUAUUCUACACUCUAGGUGUAGAAUAUUAUUCUAGGUGUAGAAUAUUAUUCUACACCGCAAGUCAAAACUGAGUUGAAAAAAUACUGAGUAGUAUUGAACAGUGUUCAGUAUUAUCUAGUAGUACACUCAGGACCACAAAAUACUGAACAAUACUGAAACGCGAAUACUGAACGAUAAUGGAUUCUAUUCAGUAUAACACUUCGGUGUAGAAUAGUAUUCUACACCCACCUAGGGUGUAGAAUAGCACUUGUAUAUAUAUAGCGUUAUUCUACACCCCAGGUGUAGAAUAUUAUUCUACACCACAAAUCAAAACUGAGUAGAAAAAAUACUGAGCAGUACUAGAGUGUUCAGUAUCAACUUGCCCAACACUCAGGACCACGAAAUACUGAACAAUACUAAAACAUGAAUACUGAGUGAUACUGAAUUUUGCUCAGUAUAACAAUUUGGUGCAGAA
RNAcentral lists this long non-coding RNA (35348 nucleotides) under Sorghum bicolor (sorghum). RNAcentral's name for it is "long non-coding RNA (SBIC_LNC008560)". Lineage: Eukaryota; Viridiplantae; Streptophyta; Magnoliopsida; Poales; Poaceae. The record is from RNAcentral.